This 863-nucleotide ribosomal RNA is filed under the name Clitopilus albidus. Its description in RNAcentral is "eukaryotic LSU rRNA". It matches the Rfam family "Eukaryotic large subunit ribosomal RNA", at positions 75 to 953 of the family's 3401-position model. The record is from RNAcentral. Lineage: Eukaryota; Fungi; Basidiomycota; Agaricomycetes; Agaricales; Entolomataceae.
UUCCCCUAGUAACUGCGAGUGAAGCGGGAAAAGCUCAAAUUUAAAAUCUGGUAGUUUCACUGCCCGAGUUGUAAUCUAGAGAAGCGUUAUCCGCGCUGGACCGUGUAUAAGUCUCCUGGAAUGGAGCGUCAUAGAGGGUGAGAAUCCCGUCUUUGACACGGACUACCAGGGCUUUGUGAUGCGCUCUCAAAGAGUCGAGUUGUUUGGGAAUGCAGCUCUAAAUGGGUGGUAAAUUCCAUCUAAAGCUAAAUAUUGGCGAGAGACCGAUAGCGAACAAGUACCGUGAGGGAAAGAUGAAAAGAACUUUGGAAAGAGAGUUAAACAGUACGUGAAAUUGUUGAAAGGGAAACGCUUGAAGUCAGUCGCGUUGGCUAGGAAUCAGCCUUGCUUUUGCUUGGUGUACUUUCUGGUUGACGGGUCAGCAUCAGUUUUGAUCGGUGGAAAAAGGCCAGUGGAAUGUGGCACCUUCGGGUGUGUUAUAGCUGCUGGUUGUAUACAUCGGUUGGGACUGAGGAACUAGCACUUUGUGUUUUAGAUGCUGGCAUAAUGGCUUUAAUCGACCCGUCUUGAAACACGGACCAAGGAGUCUAACAUGCCUGCGAGUGUUUGGGUGGAAAACCCGAGCGCGUAAUGAAAGUGAAAGUUGAGAUCCCUGUCGUGGGGAGCAUCGACGCCCGGACCAGACCUUUUGUGACGGAUCCGCGGUAGAGCAUGUAUGUUGGGACCCGAAAGAUGGUGAACUAUGCCUGAAUAGGGUGAAGCCAGAGGAAACUCUGGUGGAGGCUCGUAGCGAUUCUGACGUGCAAAUCGAUCGUCAAAUUUGGGUAUAGGGGCGAAAGACUAAUCGAACCAUCUAGUAGCUG